CUAUGAUUGAAUAGGAAACCAAAUCAUGGCGGAAGGAG
Molecule: non-coding RNA, 38 nt
Organism: Firmicutes bacterium CAG:313
Lineage: Bacteria; Bacillati; Bacillota
Source: Rfam